ACCAGCACGCUGGAAACAGCCCUCCAAGCCACUCUGAACAGCUCAGGAGGCAGCGGCUGCCUCCCCUCCCUCCUUUCCCCUCCUCCUCCUCCCUCCCUCCUCCCUCCCCUUCCUCCUCCUCCUCCCUCCCUUCCUUCUUUCUCUCCUGUGCUCUUCUUUCCAAGCAUUCUACUCCCAUUUCCUCCUCCCCGUCUUUGCUUAUUCCGUCCCUGCCUGCCUCCACCAGCAGUUCACUACGUAAAAUAGAAGCCUGAGCCGUGCUGGGCCCAGGGGGUGCCCUGGACAGCAUACUCUCGCCCGUGGAGGAAUAGGAGAGGGAGGCAGGUUGGCAUCACUGAAAUAAAGGCAGAGUGUCCCAGCUUUGGAUCCUGGCCCAGCCGCUUCCUAGGGGGAGAUCUUGGAGGCAGAGAGACAGAUGGGAAUUCACUGUGUUCACUCCCCAAAUGCCCACAACCAGGAAUGCAACCAGGGACCCAGGAAAACCAUCCAGAUCCUCCACAUGGGCAGAAAGAACCCCGUCACUUGGGCUCUCGUUUCUUCCUCCUGAGUCCGAAGUAGCAGGACACCAGAACCAGGAGCCGGAACUGGGGAUUGAACCCAGGGAAGACCACCAGCAUGCUGAAAGACUAGUGAAUAGCAACAAGGAAAUAAAAUAGGCCGUGUAACUUCCUGGGAUUCAGCAGCACUCCUUACAUUUAUGUCUUUGUCACACAUUUUUCUCAUUAUACUUGCAGAAGGCUUUAUACAUCCUAUCUGCACGGCUGUGUUCAAGACAUUCGCCCUACCUGGACUUCUCCUGUUAUUCUUGUGCACUCAGCCCAUCUCCAUCGGUUCACUUUUGAAAUUGGAAUCUCGUUUGCCUGUUGAGCUCUGCCUCACCUCCUGCAGCUGGCAACUGCCCCUUCUGAACUCCUCACUGAAGCUAUCUGUGAACAAGCCUUUGUCUUUGCCUCCCUGAUUUCUUCCCCAGCUUCCAAAGCUGAGACUCGGCGGAUGCCUGAACAGCAGAGUAAACGCUCCCUCAAUAUGAGCCAAAUAGGAGCCCCAGCUGUGUGCUCGCCAUGGAGACCUGUGCCCAGGCCCUGGCCUCUGCCAGGUAUUUCCAUGGUACCACGUAUGUCUGAUGAAGCCACUUCCCUUGGAUUCCUUAGGAAAACAUCCCAGGCAUGUAUGAUCAAGGUCACCACCCUGGGCAGAGGAGGGUCCAACUGAAGUUACAUUUCUACCCUCAAGCACCACGAAGUUGAAGUGCAAAUAGGGCGUGGCUCAGAAAUAAGAGGAGAUUGUGGUGCGAAUGCCAGCAGUUUAGAGCAUGGGGCCCCUUGCCCUUCAUGCAGCCAAAGGGCACUGCCCACGCUCUAUGGGACCGUUGUUAAGGGCCGGAGGGUGUCAAAGCAAAGUUCACAUUUCCAUGGAAGGCCCAGGGCCACAGGCGAGGUCAGGCGUGUCUGUGGGGCCUUUGUCUGCUGGCUCUUUGUUGAAACCCACAUGUGGCCCCAUUUUGUUCCCGAGAGCUCUGCGUGUGUUUCUGGGUGGACGGGGACGCUGCGCAGCUGGGCCCUGAGUCAUGGUUCCGGCCUUCGCCGAGCUCGGCUGAGGAGCUGCUUCAGGCAGGCUUGCGUUCUGUUCUCAGUUUCCAAUUUGGCAAAGAAAAUUGCAUGUUCAUCUCAUCAAGGCCCGGGAGAGCGCAGGGCGUUGCCCCCAAAUGCCUCUCCCUUCCCACAUGUGUAAGUCACGAAGGGAAAGUCCUGACUCUGUUCUCUGAUACCAAUUCCCAGCUCAGGUCAAUGCCAACCUGGUGCCUGGCACAUAGGUGUUAUUUUGCAACUUUUAAUUACAUAUGACUCCAACCAAGUUCAAAGAAUAUACGAGAAGAUUGAAAGCACCUAAAAAGGCCCUUAUCAUUCAGCUUCCACAGUAUUGUGAACUGUAUUGUUCUAUGCACACCCCCACUCACUUCCUCUACGCUACCUGCAUUAUUUUGAAGCAAAUUCCACACAUUUAAUGUCCUCUGUAAACAGUUCUGUACAAAUCUCUAAAAGAUGACUCCUGUUUUCUAAACAUGAGACAUCGUUAGUACAUCUUAAUAUCAUCAAACACUAUGCUGGUGUUCAAAAUUUUAACUAGUCUGAUAGAGGUUAUCAUUAAGUAUUUUUUCUUAUUUGGUCCAGGACCCAAAUAAGGCCCACCUAUUGUGCUGGUUGCUAUGUCUCAUCAUGUUUCUUUUCAUCUGUAUAGAUUUCUUUUCUCUCUCUCUCCCUUGCUCUCUCUCUCUCCCUUGCUCUCUCUCUCUUUUCCCUUAAUGAAAUCAGGUUGUUGGCUGUGUAGAAUUUUUCCAUCUGGAAUUUUUUGACUAAGUCCCUGUGGUGUUAUUUUACAUGUUCCUUUAUUAUCCACUAUUUUUUCCCUGUAAAUUGAUAGUUGGAUUGUGGCCAUGAUAAACUUCAAGUUUGAUUUA
This is a non-coding RNA of Oryctolagus cuniculus (rabbit), 2458 nucleotides long. The record is from RefSeq and is a predicted model, not a curated record. Lineage: Eukaryota; Metazoa; Chordata; Mammalia; Lagomorpha; Leporidae.